GGAGGGUCCCCUAUCUGAGUAUGCCCUGCUGCCUUCUUUUUUUUAAGACAAGGUCUCACUCUGUUUCCCAGGCUGGAGUGCAGUGAUAUGAUCAUAGCUCACUGCAGCUUUGACCUUCUGGACUCAAGAGAUCCUCCCACCUCAGCCUCCUGGGUAGCUGAGACUACAGCUGUGGGCCACCCUGAUACCCUCUUUAAGCUAUGAGACUUAAUUUUCAAGGCCUGAAAAACAAAACAAACAAGCAAAAACAGAGAAAAUCCCAUUCAAUACCUAACAUCAUCCGUUUUCAUAAGUAAGACAACUUGGAACUCCAAUAAUUCUACACUAAAAGAAGAAGGCUUGUCCACUACAGCAAAGCAUUGCUUCUCUGACUUGGGCCAAAUGUGUGUGUUUAGCUCUGUGAGGAAGAACUCCAGCAUUUUCAGGACACCCACACCAUCAAGGUCAGCGACAAGAACUGACAUGCGUCUCCCUCUGUCCUUUUGAGGUUCCAGCUCAUGCCUGUUGGUUCCAGCCUGCUAGUGAUCUCCCCACAGUUGUAUCCAUCUUUCCUUCCCAACUACCUGCAGGCGUCAGGCUCCAACAUCAGAGGUAAAAACAGCAGCCUUAAAAAAAAACUGAACCAACUCUCAUGAUUGUGUCGUCAGAUCUCUGCAAUAAAUCCCUUAAAUAUAUACACGGCUGUGUGUGUGAGAGAGAGAGAGAGAGAGAAAGAGAGAGAAAUUUAUAAAUGUAUAAGUACAUUUUGUAUGUAUCUAUACAUAUAUACAUAUUUUACAUGUAAAUUUUAUAUAUAAUAUGUGUAUAAUCUGCUAGUGGUU
This 821-nucleotide long non-coding RNA is filed under the name Homo sapiens (human). RNAcentral's name for it is "HSALNT0280522". Lineage: Eukaryota; Metazoa; Chordata; Mammalia; Primates; Hominidae. The record is from RNAcentral.